Molecule: long non-coding RNA, 214 nt
Filed under: Paramuricea clavata
Lineage: Eukaryota; Metazoa; Cnidaria; Anthozoa; Malacalcyonacea; Plexauridae
Source: RNAcentral
GGCCGUUUUUAUACUAGAGACGCAUUAUGCGCCUGGACGAACUUGGGCAAGCAUUUGUUGUUCGUCCGGUUAUGCGUCCUUAGUAUAAAGACGGGCACAAGACGCAUAUGCGCCUAGACGAACUAUGUUCGAUUCUUCGUCUUAAGAGACGCACAACCGAUGAUAAUUCGUCUAGACGCAUAAUGCGUCUUGUGCCCGUCUUUAUACUGAGGAC